UCAUAUUUUUAAUCAUGAUCUUCUCAUCAGCUCUGCUUCUGCUGGCAGCAGCUGCAUCCUGUGGUGUUUUCUGUGUUGAGCUCACUCAACCUUCAUCUAUGGUUGUGAAACCUCAAGAAUCAUUCUCCAUCUCCUGCAGGAUUUCAGAAUCAAGCUAUUGCAUUAAUUGGAUCCGUCAACCCACUGGAAAAGCACUGGAAUGGCUUGGAUAUCUUUGUAGUGGUGGUGGCACUAACAUUAAAGACUCAGUGAAAAACAAGAUCAGUUUCACCCAGGACACGUCCAAAAACACAGUGUUUCUACAGGGGAAGAAUUUUGAGACUGAGGACUCAGCCGUGUAUUACUGUGCAAGAUACACACAGUGACUAAACAAGCCACCGCUCUGUACAAAAAAAGUUUAAACACAUUAAACAAAUGAACAUCAGCUCAACUGGUUUUAUUCAACUCAAUAUUAACAUGACUAUACCAACAAAAGUUAUUUUUGUGGUCAAGAUCAGGUAUAAAUAAUUAUUAAAGUUAACAACUA
This is a non-coding RNA of Carassius auratus (goldfish), 526 nucleotides long. NCBI's taxonomy places the organism in Eukaryota, Metazoa, Chordata, Actinopteri, Cypriniformes, Cyprinidae. The record is from the annotation of a RefSeq genome assembly.